This 270-nucleotide ribosomal RNA is filed under the name uncultured bacterium. RNAcentral describes it as "partial small subunit ribosomal RNA". It matches the Rfam family "Bacterial small subunit ribosomal RNA", at positions 26 to 285 of the family's 1533-position model. The record is from RNAcentral.
AGAAUCAACGCUGGCGGCGUGCCUAACACAUGCAAGUCGAACGCGAAAGGGACUUCGGUCCUGAGUAGAGUGGCGAACGGGUGAGUAACGCGUGGGUGACCUACCCUCGAGUGGGGGAUAACGUUCCGAAAGGGACGCUAAUACCGCAUGACAUUCCGGGUUUGAAGACCUGGAAAUCAAAGCCGGGGACCGCAAGGCCUGGCGCUAGAGGAGGGGCCCGCGUCUGAUUAGCUAGUUGGCGGGUAACGCCCACCAAGGCGACGAUCAGUA